RNAcentral lists this ribosomal RNA (2459 nucleotides) under uncultured Lachnospiraceae bacterium. Its description in RNAcentral is "bacterial LSU rRNA". It matches the Rfam family "Bacterial large subunit ribosomal RNA", at positions 14 to 2499 of the family's 2925-position model. Lineage: Bacteria; Bacillati; Bacillota; Clostridia; Lachnospirales; Lachnospiraceae. The record is from RNAcentral.
AGAGCGUAGGGAGGAUGCCUUGGCACCAGGAGCCGAAGAAGGACGCGAUAAGCUGCGAAAAGCCACGGUAAGGAGCACAUAUCCGGUGAGCCGUGGAUAUCCGAAUGGGGGAACCCAGCUGAGGAGAUCUCAGUUACUGUCGUAUGAAUCUAUAGUAUGACAGGGGGAACGACGUGAACUGAAACAUCUAAGUAGCGUCAGGAAGAGAAAGAAAACUCGAUUAUCAAAGUAGCGGCGAGCGAAAUGAUAAGAGGCCAAACCCUGAUCAGCAAUGAUGAGGGGGUUGAGGACUGCGAACGUUACGGUAAGACAUAGCUGAAUGGUAUUGGGAAAGCCAGCCGGAGAGGGUGAAAGCCCCGUAAGCGAAAUGUCAAGCCGGGCAGCAGGAUCCAGAGUACUGCGAGACACGAGGAACCUUGCAGGAAGCGGGAGGGACCACCCUCCAAGCCUAAAUACUACCUGGUGACCGAUAGAGGAGAAGUACAGUGAUGGAAAGGUGAAAAGGACCCCGGGAGGGGAGUGAAAGAGAACCUGAAACCCUAUGUUUACAAGCAGUCGGAGAGAGAAGAUCUCGACGGCGUACUUUUUGUAGAACGGUCCGGCGAGUUACGAUCAGGAGCGAGGUUAAGUCUUUAAGAGACGGAGCCGAAGGGAAACCGAGUGUGAAGAGCGCGAGAAGUUGCUGGUUGUAGACCCGAAACCGAGUGACCUAUCCAUGUCCAGGAUGAAGCGCGCGUAACAGUGCGUGGAGGUCCGAACACACACCCGUUGAAAAGGAUGGUGAUGAGGUGUGGAUAGGGGAGAAAUUCCAAUCGAACCCGGAGAUAGCUGGUUCUCCCCGAAAUAGCUUUAGGGCUAGCCUUGGGAACAGUCUGAGGGAGGUAGAGCACUGAAUGGCAGAGGGGUCGUAAAGAUUUCCGAAGCCUAUCAAACUUCGAAUGCCGCACAGAUGGUGCCCGGGAGUCAGACUGCAUGAGAUAAAUCAAGUGGUCAAAAGGGAAAAAGCCCAGAUCAUCCGCUAAGGUCCCAAAGUACGUGUUAAGUGGGAAAGGAUGUGAGACUUCAAAGACAACUAGGAUGUUGGCUCAGAAGCAGCCAUACAUUCAAAGAGUGCGUAAUAGCUCACUAGUCGAGAGGACUUGCGCCGAAAAUACACGGGGCUGAAACACGACACCGAAGCGAUGGGAUCUGCGUAAAGCAGAUCGGUAGGGGAGCAUUGAGUAGUAAAAAGAAGCGCGAGCGGAAGCGAGCGUGGAUGAGAUUCAAGAGAGAAUGCCGGAAUGAGUAGCGAGAUAGGAGUGAGAAUCUUCUAGGCCGAAAAUCUAAGGGAUCCAGAGUCAAGCUGAUCUGCUCUGGGUAAGUCGGGGCCUAAGGCGAGGUCGAAAGACGUAGUCGAUGGGAAACAGGUAGAGAUUCCUGUACCCGUAACAAACAGAACUGUGGGGACACAGGAGGCGAAGGAUGAGCCGGGAAUGGAAAGACCGGUCCAAGCAGUAAGGUACUAUUACAGGCAAACCCGUAGUAGUGAACUGAGCUGUGACGGGGACUGAAACUAAAGUAAGGAAGCAUCCAAGCCAGACUGUCGAGAAAAGCCGCUAUUGUUUUGUUACGGCCCGUACCGCAAACCGACACAGGUAGAUGAGGAGAGAAUCCACAGGCCGGCGGGAGAAGCGUUGUUAAGGAACUAGGCAAAAAUGCCCCGUAACUUAGGGAGAAGGGGUGCCACAGCGAUGUGGCCGCAGCGAAGAGGCCCAAGCGACUGUUUAACAAAAACACAGGUUUCUGCGAAACCGAAAGGUGAAGUAUAGGAGCUGACGCCUGCCCGGUGCUGGAAGGUUAAGGGGAGAAGUCAUCGAAAGAGAAGCUUUGAACUUAAGCCCCAGUAAACGGCGGCCGUAACUAUAACGGUCCUAAGGUAGCGAAAUUCCUUGUCGGGUAAGUUCCGACCCGCACGAAAGGCGUAACGAUUUGGGCACUGUCUCGACAACGCGCCCGGUGAAAUUGAAGUACCAGUGAAGAUGCUGGUUACCCGCGACAGGACGGAAAGACCCCAUGGAGCUUUACUCUAGCUUGAUAUUGGGAUUCGGCAUUGCAUGUACAGGAUAGGAGGGAGACAGAGAACGGCGGGCGCCAGCCUACCGGGAGUCGAUGUUGGGAUACCUCCCCUGCGAUGCUGGAUUUCUAACUUAUAUCCAUGAACUGGAUAAAGGACAAUGUCUGGUGGGGAGUUUGACUGGGGCGGUCGCCUCCGAAAGGGUAUCGGAGGCGCUCAAAGGUUCCCUCAGGAUGGUUGGAAACCAUUCGAAGAGUGCAAAGGCGAAAGGGAGCUUGACUGAGACACCGACGGGUGGAACAGGUACGAAAGUAGGACUUAGUGAUCCGGUGGUAUAAAGUGGGAUUGCCAUCGCUCAACGGAUAAAAGCUACCCUGGGGAUAACAGGCUGAUCUCCCCCAAGAGU